GACGAACGCUGGCGGCGUGCUUAACACAUGCAAGUCUACGAGAACCACAUCCUUCGGGGUGUGUAGUAAAGUGGCGCACGGGUGAGUAACACGUGGGUAACCUACCCCCGGGCUCGGGAUAACUGGCCGAAAGGCCCGCUAAUACCGAAUAAGACCACACGAGCUUCGGCUUGAGGGGUCAAAGACGGCCUAUCGAUGAAGCCGUCACCUGAGGAUGGGCCCGCGGACCAUUAGCUAGUUGGUGAGGUAACGGCCCACCAAGGCUGAGAUGGUUAGCUGGUCUGAGAGGAUGACCAGCCACACUGGAACUGAGACACGGUCCAGACUCCUACGGGAGGCAGCAGUGAGGAAUAUUGCGCAAUGGAGGAAACUCUGACGCAGCAACGCCGCGUGGGUGAAGAAGGCUUUCGGGUUGUAAAGCCCUGUCAGGUGGGACGAAACCACCGGAAGUGAAUAGCUUUGGAACU
RNAcentral lists this ribosomal RNA (467 nucleotides) under uncultured Desulfomonile sp. Its description in RNAcentral is "bacterial SSU rRNA". It matches the Rfam family "Bacterial small subunit ribosomal RNA", at positions 28 to 473 of the family's 1533-position model. Lineage: Bacteria; Pseudomonadati; Thermodesulfobacteriota; Desulfomonilia; Desulfomonilales; Desulfomonilaceae. The record is from RNAcentral.